GAUGAACGCUGGCGGCGUGCUUAACACAUGCAAGUCGAACGGGGCAUUUCCGCGGAAGUUUUCGGAUGGAAGCGGGAAAGCCAAGUGGCGGACGGGUGAGUAACGCGUGGGGAACCUGCCCUGUACAGGGGGACAACAGUUGGAAACGACUGCUAAUACCGCAUAAGCGCACAGGACCGCAUGGUCCGGUGUGAAAAACUCCGGUGGUACAGGAUGGCCCCGCGUCUGAUUAGGUAGUUGGCGGGGUAACGGCCCACCAAGCCGACGAUCAGUAGCCGACCUGAGAGGGUGAACGGCCACAUUGGGACUGAGACACGGCCCAAACUCCUACGGGAGGCAGCAGUGGGGAAUAUUGCACAAUGGGGGAAACCCUGAUGCAGCGACGCCGCGUGAGCGAAGAAGUAUUUCGGUAUGUAAAGCUCUAUCAGCAGGGAAGAAAAUGACGGU
This 447-nucleotide ribosomal RNA is filed under the name uncultured bacterium. Its description in RNAcentral is "bacterial SSU rRNA". It matches the Rfam family "Bacterial small subunit ribosomal RNA", at positions 28 to 458 of the family's 1533-position model. The record is from RNAcentral.